GUCCACGCUGUAAACGAUGAUCACUAGAUGUCAGAUUCCCUUGAGGAGUUUGGUAUCGUAGCUAACGCGAUAAGUGAUCCGCCUGGGGAGUACGGUCGCAAGACUAAAACUCAAAGAAAUUGACGGGGGUCGCACAAGCGGUGGAACAUGUGGUUUAAUUCGACACUACGCGAGGAACCUUACCUGGGCUUGACAUAUAGUCGACCGGGGCGAGAGAUGUCCCUUUCUUGGGAAACCGAGACGAUUAAACAGGUGCUGCAUGGCUGUCGU
This 270-nucleotide ribosomal RNA is filed under the name uncultured bacterium. RNAcentral describes it as "partial 16S ribosomal RNA". It matches the Rfam family "Bacterial small subunit ribosomal RNA", at positions 793 to 1055 of the family's 1533-position model. The record is from RNAcentral.